RNAcentral lists this small RNA (204 nucleotides) under Rhodococcus sp. (in: high G+C Gram-positive bacteria). Its description in RNAcentral is "Rhodococcus sp. c-di-AMP sequence". The stretch from base 54 to 204 matches the Rfam family "c-di-AMP riboswitch aptamer (ydaO/yuaA leader)". Rfam says of the family: This family represents a conserved RNA structure found upstream of the ydaO and yuaA genes in Bacillus subtilis and related genes in other bacteria. Lineage: Bacteria; Bacillati; Actinomycetota; Actinomycetes; Mycobacteriales; Nocardiaceae. The record is from RNAcentral.
GGACAUCACGGACCGAAGUCAGGGGCGAGGGCGGGGGACCCACCACGUCCUUCUUAGAUGACCGGCCGACCGUCGCACCCCACCGGGAGCGGCGCGGCCUCGGGGUGAAGCCUCGCCCGUUCCAAGCCGGGAACGACGCGGGGCCGGGCUACCUCUCAGCCCGAAUCCGACAGCUGACCUCGCAGGCGCGUGUGGAGAGGAAAC